CCGGGGUGGACGUCACCCGUGAGUUCAAUCGUUUGAAGCGAUUGGUAUUUCAGGGCUUCCAAAGCCCUGUCCGGGCCGCGUCCGGGACCCCGGU
RNAcentral lists this transfer RNA (94 nucleotides) under Pleomorphomonas sp. SM30. Its description in RNAcentral is "tRNA-Ser". The record is from RNAcentral. RNAcentral also lists the same sequence under 1 other name. Lineage: Bacteria; Pseudomonadati; Pseudomonadota; Alphaproteobacteria; Hyphomicrobiales; Pleomorphomonadaceae.